GCAAGAUGCAGCUGUGAUGAGACGUAACACAUAAGAAGGCCAAACCGAUCAAUUGGUUCUUCGAUGAAAUAUAUUUGUUACGCUUGGCUUCUGAGCUGAAUCUGC
This 105-nucleotide small nucleolar RNA is filed under the name Oryza sativa Indica Group (long-grained rice). RNAcentral's name for it is "snoRNA J3.4". The stretch from base 8 to 99 matches the Rfam family "Small nucleolar RNA R24". From Rfam's summary of the family: snoR24 is a C/D box small nucleolar RNA which acts as a methylation guide for 18S ribosomal RNA in plants. Lineage: Eukaryota; Viridiplantae; Streptophyta; Magnoliopsida; Poales; Poaceae. The record is from RNAcentral.